Molecule: transfer RNA, 77 nt
Filed under: Candidatus Cloacimonadota bacterium
Lineage: Bacteria; Pseudomonadati; Candidatus Cloacimonadota
Also listed under: 1 other name
Description: Candidatus Cloacimonetes bacterium tRNA-Arg
Rfam family: tRNA
About the family: Transfer RNA (tRNA) molecules are approximately 80 nucleotides in length. Their secondary structure includes four short double-helical elements and three loops (D, anti-codon, and T loops).
Source: RNAcentral
GCGCCCGUGGCUCAAUUGGAUAGAGUACUUGACUACGGAUCAGGGGGUUAGGGGUUCGAAUCCUCUCGGGCGUGCCA